GCGCGAAAACUUUACAAUGCAGGAAACUGUGAUAAGGGAACCCCGAGUGCCCGUAUACGCGGGCUGUCCGGGUGUAUAAAAAGCAUCUGAAGAAAGGGCCGGGCAAGACCGGUGCCAGCCGCCGCGGUAAUACCGGCGGCUCGAGUGGUGACCACUUUUAUUGGGCUUAAAGCGUUCGUAGCUGGACUCUUAAGUCUCUUGGGAAAUCCCGCGGCUCAACCGUGGGGCGUUUAAGAGAUACUGGGAGUCUAGGAACCGGGAGAGGUAAGAGGUACUUCGGGGGUAGAAGUGAAAUUCUGUAAUCCUCGAGGGACCACCGAUGGCGAAGGCAUCUUACCAGAACGGCUUCGACAGUGAGGAACGAAAGCUGGGGGAGCGAACGGGAUUAGAUACCCCGGUAGUCCCAGCUGUAAACGAUGCGCGUUAGGUGUACUGGUGACCACGAGUCACUGGGGUGCCGAAGGGAAACCGUGAAACGUGCCGCCUGGAAGUACGUCGAACAGGCUAA
RNAcentral lists this ribosomal RNA (508 nucleotides) under uncultured archaeon. RNAcentral's name for it is "bacterial SSU rRNA". It matches the Rfam family "Archaeal small subunit ribosomal RNA", at positions 339 to 853 of the family's 1478-position model. The record is from RNAcentral.